RNA transcript from Pseudopipra pipra, 6039 nucleotides. It is a transcript of the gene named tubulin delta 1, with no coding region annotated. NCBI's taxonomy places the organism in Eukaryota, Metazoa, Chordata, Aves, Passeriformes, Pipridae. The transcript is spliced from 12 exons. The record is from RefSeq and is a predicted model, not a curated record.
GGAUCGGGACGAGGAUCGGGAUGCCAGCUGAGUGUCCGGCCGGGCUCGGGGCGAACAUGGCGGCGGUUCUGAGGGGCGGCCCCUGAGGGGCGGCCCCUGAGGGGGGUCUGCGGGCACGGACAGCCGGGUGGGACGGUCGGUGUCGCACAGGUCGGACACGGGCCUUUCCUGAGGAUAAUUCACAUGUUUGUUUAUUCUCGGUCUCGCAGCAACCCCCGGGCUGGCAGCGGCGCUGGAAUCGCGCACCGCGAUCCAAAUUAGCACAAACCUGCCCGCAGAACGCGGCACAGGCACCGGCAGCCAUCCAGGGAAUGCUGGCUUGAAGAAGGAUGUCAAUAGUCACAGUCCAGCUUGGGCAGUGUGGGAACCAGAUUGGGCACGAGGUGUUUUGCUGCCUGUGCAGUGACAUCCGGGGCACUCACGGGCUCUGCUCCAAGAAGGAAAACCAAUCCUACCAGGAUGCCUGCAAGGAGAGGUUUUUCUGGGAGGAGGAAUCUGGAGUGCCUGUGGCCCGGGCUGUGCUGGUUGACAUGGAGCCCAAAGUCAUCAGCCAAACCUUAUCCAUGGCUGCCAGGUCUGGCUGCUGGAAAUAUAACAACCAGUCCCACUUCUGCCAGAAGCAAGGCUCUGGGAACAACUGGGCCAACGGUUACUCUGUCCACGGGCCCAGACACAAGGAAUCAAUCAUGGAUCUGGUGCAGAAAGAAGCAGAGAGAUGUGACAGACUGGGAGGAUUUUUCACCAUCAUGAGCAUGGCUGGGGGCACAGGGUCAGGCCUGGGAGCAUUUGUGACCCAGUGCUUGAGAGAUGCUUUUCCAGCCUCAUUUAUCCUAAACCACGUUAUCUGGCCCUAUGGCACUGGUGAGGUCAUUGUUCAAAACUACAACUCUGUUUUGACUCUGUCCCAUCUGUACCGCUCCUCAGACGCCCUCCUUGUCCACGAGAACGAUGCCAUCCACAGGAUCUGUGCCCAGCUGCUGAACAUCAAACAGAUCUCCUUCAGGGAUGUGAACCAAGUCAUUGCACAUCAGCUGGGCAGCGUUUUCCAGCCCGUUCACCCAGCAGAGGGGGGCUCAGACUACAGCAGGAACCCACUGGGAGAUUUGAUGGAGACGCUGGUCCCACAUCCCGAGUUCAAGAUGUUGGGGCUCCGGAACAUUCCUCAGAUUCCUGAGAACUCCCUCCCCUACAGCACCUUCAGCUGGCCUGGGCUCAUCAAACACCUGAGGCAGAUGCUCAUUGCCAAUGCCCAGAUGGAGGAAGGUAUUGACUGGCAAGUACGACCACCUCCUCCAGGCUCCUCCACCCCCUCCAGCCAUUCCACAAAGAAGCCACUGCACUUCAACACUUCCAUUGCCAACCUGGUUAUCCUGAGAGGAAAAGAUGUGCACAGUGUGGAUUUGGGAAGUUUCCAAGAUCCCUCCCUGUACACAUCAUGGCUAAAGCCUCAGGAUGCUUUUAAUGCCUGGAGAACACCAAGAGCAUUUAACAAGUAUGAAAAGUCUGCCUCUCUGGUCAGCAACAGCCAGUUCCUGCUGAAACCUCUCGACAGCGUUGUGGGAAAAGCUUGGAAUAUGUUUGCUUCCAAAGCUUAUAUUCACCAAUACACCAAAUUUGGAAUUGAAGAGGAAGAUUUCCUGGACAGCUUCACAACCCUGGAACAAGUUAUCUCCAGUUACACCACCCUUUGAUUUUCUUUCUUUUAAAUGGUCAGAAAUAGAGCUUUUCUGAAAGAACCCAGCACUGGAAAACCUCCCAUCAACUUCCUGAAGUAUGGAAAUGUCUGGGCUGGAGCUGGUUUUCAGUCUUGAAAGCAGUGUGUGUGUGUGUUAGGACAGCAAGAGCUGACUCUGAGCUGAAUAUAUUCCUAUGGGCAGAGGAAACUGGAGGGAAGGUUGCACGAGCUGGGACAAACAGCACAGGCACUGCAAGAACAAAGGUCAGGAAAGGAGACCCUGGGGAGCUUCUCCCUCCUGCAGGAGGCCCAGGAUGUUCAGCCACACAGACACCCCUGUCCUGGUGUUCCCAACACAUCCCAGACUGGUCAGAAAUGGGGAACUGCACGUCUGCAACAAGGGCCAAGCCCCAGCAGUGCUUCCUCCUGGCCCACAGAACAGGAUGCGACUGGAAGUUCCAGUGACCUCGCCGGUCCCGCUUCCAGUGUUUUUCGUGGCAACUCUUCCCUCGUUUCUCCUGUCAAAGGAGGGCAGCAGCGCUCUGCCCACGAUCCCUUCCUGCUCUGCCCACGGUCCUUCCCUGCUCUGCCCACGGUCCCUUCCCUGCUCUGCCCACGAUCCCUUCCUGCUCUGCCCACGAUCCCUUCCUGCUCUGCCCACGAUCCCUUCCCUGCUCUGCCCACAUCCCUUCCCUGCUCUGCCCACAUCCCUUCCCUGCUCUGCCCACAUCCCUUCCCUGCUCUGCCCACGAUCCCUUCCCUGCUCUGCCCACGGUCCCUUCCCUGCUCUGCCCACGAUCCCUUCCCUGCUCUGCCCACGGUCCCUUCCCUGCUCUGCCCACGAUCCCUUCCUGCUCUGCCCACGGUCCCUUCCCUGCUCUGCCCACGAUCCCUUCCCUGCUCUGCCCAUGAUCCUUCCCUGCUCUGCCCACGAUCCCUUCCCUGCUCUGCGACUCCAGCCCGAUCCCCCCCGAGGCUCUUUUGUGGGCAGAAAUGGCCAGAGGAACAUUUAUAACAGCCACAAAUAUCGCACGUGAAAUCCGAGUUAAGUUCACGGAUUUUAGCUAAAAUGCCUCAGCAUCCUCAAGGAUUUCACGUCGCUCUGUCCCGUUGCAAAUUCAGGGUAAGUUUUUUAAAAUACUUUUUUUUUUAAAUUUUUUUGGGGGGGGGGUAUGAAAGGAAAUUUCUGCCCCUUGUAGCUGCUCUAAACACCGUAGUUUUCUUUUCCUUUCAAACACCGAAGGCUUGGGGAUUUUAUUUCUCUUACUGUCCACUAAGCCACAGACCCUCCUGGCUCCUGAAGCAUCGAUGCUGCACAGUUUGUUACCCCUUCACAUGGAAAUGCAACUUUUUCCUCCUUAAAUUUAACCUUCCAAGCAGGCAGCUAAUGCAGAGAGGCAAGAACUGCCACUAGUCUUGCUCUAUUUUUUGUCUUAUUGUCUAAAGAAUUUAAAUCCAAUUUUUGUACAAUUACAGAGUAAGUUUGAAACAGAGUUAAGUUUAAAAUCCAGUUUCACACAAUUACGGGGGAAUUUUAAAACCCAAUUUCACACGAUUACAGGGUAGUUUUUAAUUCCCAGGUUGAUUUUGAAGUGAGAUUUUUAUCUGUAUUGCUCGGGUCAGUGCAGAUCUUGGUAAAACAGACACGUGAAGAGCCCGAGAAAGGCUGAGCUGGGGGAGGGUCUUACCUGUGGAACGCCACCGUCCGACUUGUGGUGAAGUUUUAUCCUCUGAGCUUCCAGAUAUUCUUGAAAUGGCUUCUGAAGAGAAGGACCUAUACUUGGAAUAGCACUGAUGGAAAGUUCAUCCCAGAGAACGAGACAAAAUAGGGGAGAAAAAAAAAAAACAAAACCAAAAAAAACCAUUGGCUUUUUUCUUUUUUUUUUUUUUAAAUAAACUUACCACUUUACCUAAUGAGAGCAAAGUUCAGGCUGAGCUACAGCUCAGGAGGGAACUCCUGAGCCACUUGAGAAAACAGAAACCCCACGAAAUAAAGCAAAAUAUUCAUCUUUUGAUCUUUCCCCAGAUCCUCCAAAAGUGCUCAAAAAGGAAAAUCUCUGUGAGCAGCAGAGCGCCGGGCAGGGGGCAGGAGCUGGGAGCUGGAGCGUGUCCUGGAGGCAGGAGAAGGAGCUGAGCACUGGGGCAGCGCUGGGAGGCAAAUGAAUGACUUCGGAGAAGUCCCACAUUUAUCAGCAGCAGUUCCUGUAAGAACUGGUUUGAACCGAUUAAUAAGGAAAUGACUUGUGCUUGUGUCAUCCCCCGGUUAAAAAAGAGGCUGCUCGCCCUAUGACUUGCCCCUUCUCCUGCGAGGAGACGGCCCCUUUCUCCAACAAAGUCCUUAUUAGGACAAUCUGUGCGUCAUCCCUUCCCAAAAGGAACGCGUGAGCAAAUCCUGCGGCACCUCCCCCGGGCAGGGAUUAACAAAGGAACAAAGAGGCGCUGGGAGCCCUGCCCUGCAUCGUGCCAGCCUGGGUGGCACAGGGCGGGCUCCGAGGGACCUGCUGAACACCUUGUUCCUGCUGCGGGGUCACGUCUGGGAGCUCGGAGCCCUCUCGGGGGGAGGGUGGUACCGCCGGGCAGCCUCUGCCCUCCACCCAAAUCCCCCUGGCCAGGCUGCCACCAAACCCACCCAGGCAGCUCUGCCUUAAAUCCACCCACCCUGCUAUUUAGCAAAUAGAGAUCCAAACCCCUUCAAUAAUGAUCACAACCCUUAAAUAAAACCCCAAAACUCAACUAUUCAACCCUAGAACUUGGGCAGCCUCUGACCUCCCCUCAAAUCCCCCUGGCCAGGCUUCCACCAAACCCACCCAGGCAGCUCUGCCUUAAAUCCACCCACUCUGCUAUUUAGCACAAGAUCCAAACCCCUUCAAGAAUGGUCACAACCCUUAAAUAAAGCCCCAAAACUCAAAUAUUAAACCCCACAAUUCAAAUAUCACCCAGAAUAAAUUGUCACCAGCACCAGCACGGCCUGAGCUGUGUGAACACACAAUCCUAAGGCUCCCAAGGCUGGAUCCACAAACAUCCACCACCACUCCUAACUCCCCCCACUGACAAACACCACUUGAGUUUCAAAGAGAACAGAGAUUUUAAUUUAUUUUCUUUUUUAUAUUUAACCGGGUUUAAAUUUUUUAAAUUUAAAGAGAUCAGUGUGAUCUCCACUGAAAACUCACCUAAUUUUCAACGCUUCACUUUUAACUCUUCACACCACAGGGAGGGUUCAGUAAAACAACUCCACACCCCAGGACACAUCCAACAACAGGUUUUACAAGUGACCAUCUCCCUGCGUCCCUCCAAUUAUUCUCCUCCUCAUUUGACACGAUAUUCCCUUUUCCAGGCCAGAGCCCAAUUCAAAAAGAACACUUUCUAAUUUUAGGAAUUUCAGAAAAGGCCCCGAGUGAAGAAACAAAGUGCCUCAUUCUGCUGCUCUCAAUGGAUUUCCUCCAUGGCCGGGGGCAAACGCCUUUUUGGAGCAGAUUUCCCAGAAAAAGGCCACUUCCCUCAUGAUUCACCCCCGGGAUGAGACAAACGGGGGGAGGAAAUUCUGUGCCCGGGGCUGCUGAAAUUUCAGGGGGGGGGAAAAAACAACCCCAGAGACUCCAGCCCGUCCCUGACACGUUUUCCACAAAUCCAAAGGAUUUCCAGGAUUCAGCCCCGACCCUUCCCGGGAAAAACCUCUCCCGGGAAAAACCUCUCCCGGUGAGUCGGGGCCGGGGCCGAGUCACCCUUGGAACUUCUGAGGUUUCUUUGCCUUCCUCCAAGAGCUCCAGCAAGGUGCUGUGCUCAGAUAUUUCCCAUUGUGCAAGAGCAACGUCCCAGACAAAGGAAGCCUGAAGUGGAAUUUGAUUCAAAUGAAGUUACUGACCACUAAAGAGAACUGUAUUUUAAUUUAAUAACAGGGCUUUUAAUGCAAGGUAUUGUUUAACAUGUUUGCUGUUCCCUCUAACACAGAUUGAUGAGGUAAUGCCAGCAGACAGCUUGGGAAAAGUCAAGGAUACCGGGACAUUCCAAAAAUCUCACUGUCUCCCAGGAACAUUUUUUAACUCUGACAUCAACCCUCCAAUAAACCCAAAUCCAGCAGAGCUCCUGUGACUGCACUCGGGGUAAUUCAAUGCAAAAUUAUCUCCAAGACAGAUGAAGUAGGAAAAAACUCCCGGGUUUGGCUCCAGGAUCCUCAGGAGAGGAAAUCCUUGGAAAUACCUGAGCUGGUGUGACUGAGAAAAACCCCUGAUGGUUCAAAGUUGCCACGUUUCUUUCUCUCUCUCCCUUUUGUUAUAAAUAAUGUUCAAAGCAACAAAUUAAUGUUGAAGUUUGGUACAAAACAGAUGGGAAGAUCAGGAAUAAUAAAGUCAGGAUUAAUGAAAUUC